GACGAACGCUGGCGGCGUGCUUAACACAUGCAAGUCGAACGAAGAGCGAUGGAAGCUUGCUUCUAUCAAUCUUAGUGGCGAACGGGUGAGUAACGCGUAAUCAACCUGCCCUUCAGAGGGGGACAACAGUUGGAAACGACUGCUAAUACCGCAUACGAUCUAACCUCGGCAUCGAGGAAAGAUGAAAGGUGGCCUCUAUGUAUAAGCUAUCACUGAAGGAGGGGAUUGCGUCUGAUUAGCUAGGUGGAGGGGUAACGGCCCCCCAAGGCGAUGAUCAGUAGCCGGUCUGAGAGGAUGAACGGCCACAUUGGGACUGAGACACGGCCCAGACUCCUACGGGAGGCAGCAGUGGGGAAUCUUCCGCAAUGGACGAAAGUCUGACGGAGCAACGCCGCGUGAGUGAUGACGGCCUUCGGGUUGUAAAGCUCUGUUAAUCGGGACGAAAGGCCUUCUUGCGAAUAGUGAGAAGGAUUGACGGUACCGGAAUAGAAAGCCACGGCUAACUACGUG
Molecule: ribosomal RNA, 510 nt
Filed under: uncultured bacterium
Lineage: Bacteria
Description: partial 16S ribosomal RNA
Rfam family: Bacterial small subunit ribosomal RNA
Source: RNAcentral